GCCAGCUGUGUCCCCUCCCAUCUCCUUGUGCCCCCCAGCCUUGUCAAAGUGGUGUGGUGUGAGAAGCUGAAAAGUCCUUGACUUAAAACUAUUUUCCAACAGACUUAAAGGCAGGACAAAAGCAAGAAGUCAGCCAAGGAUUCCAGUUUCCUGAAGAACUCCUGAAUUUUGGAGCUCUAAAGUCCUGUGCCCAGCAUAAGAUGAUGUGCAGGUCCAAGGGUGCCCUGUGGAAACCUGUUUAAGUCACACACAAGGAAUUGCACAGAAUCCAGUAGUUGUCAAACUGAAGUUCUACUUUGUGAAGAAUUAACUUUGCCUCUCAAAACCAGCUGUGGAUCUGCAAAAUUACUUAUGGACUGGGGCAUUCUGAACACAUAUGGAAUUUUUUAACUGGACAUCACUAAUACCACACCAUAAUUGUGCCUAAAAUGGGAGGUACAUUGGUUUUGAUCUGGAACCGUGGCAAUCAUUCUUUCAUUCACCACAUGUAUCCAAGCAGUACCUGUAUCUGACUGCAAACAGAAAUGGAAGCAGUACCAGCAAAUGAAAUACUGUCCUGUGGUGAUUUCAUGUGUUCUCA
Long non-coding RNA from Ficedula albicollis (Collared flycatcher), 580 nucleotides. RefSeq lists it as uncharacterized. The record is from RefSeq and is a predicted model, not a curated record. The transcript is spliced from 5 exons. NCBI's taxonomy places the organism in Eukaryota, Metazoa, Chordata, Aves, Passeriformes, Muscicapidae.